CCUACGGGUGGCAGCAGUCGAGAAUCAUUCACAAUGGGGGAAACCCUGAUGGGGCGACGCCGCGUGGGGGAAUGAAGGUCUGCGGAUUGUAAACCCCUGUCAUGUGGGAGCAAAUUAAAAAGAGAGUACCACAAGAGGAAGAGACGGCUAACGCUGUGCCAGCAGCCGCGGUAAUACAGAGGUCUCAAGCGUUGUUCGGAAUCACUGGGCGUAAAGCGUGCGGAGGCUGUUUCGUAAGUCGUGUGUGAAAGGCGCGGGCUCAACCCGCGGACGGAACAUGAGACUGCGAGCCUAGCGUAAUGGCGGGGGAACCGUACUUCUCGUUGUAGCCGUGAACUGCGUAGCUCUCG
RNAcentral lists this ribosomal RNA (350 nucleotides) under uncultured bacterium. Its description in RNAcentral is "partial 16S ribosomal RNA". It matches the Rfam family "Bacterial small subunit ribosomal RNA", at positions 338 to 699 of the family's 1533-position model. The record is from RNAcentral.